RNAcentral lists this ribosomal RNA (601 nucleotides) under Pleosporales sp. 1 TMS-2011. Its description in RNAcentral is "eukaryotic LSU rRNA". The stretch from base 240 to 393 matches the Rfam family "5.8S ribosomal RNA". Lineage: Eukaryota; Fungi; Ascomycota; Dothideomycetes; Pleosporales. The record is from RNAcentral.
UCUUGGUCAUUUAGAGGAAGUAAAAGUCGUAACAAGGUUUCCGUAGGUGAACCUGCGGAAGGAUCAUUACUGCUUGCUCAUGGCCGCCUGGAGUUCUGCUCCGGNNNNNNACGGCAACACUACCCUUGUCUAUACAUACCUUUUGUUAUUUCCCUCGGCGGGGUCACACCCGUCGAUGGGGACACUAUAAACCCUUGUAUCUUAAGCAUCAAACUUCUGAAACAAAACAAAAUAAUCACAACUUUCAACAAUGGAUCUCUUGGUUCUGGCAUCGAUGAAGAACGCAGCGAAAUGCGAUAAGUAGUGUGAAUUGCAGACUUUAGUGAAUCAUCGAAUCUUUGAACGCACAUUGCGCCCCUUGGUAUUCCAUUGGGCAUGCCUGUUCGAGCGUCAUUUACACCCUCAAGCCUAGCUUGGUGUUGGGCGUUGUCCGCAAGGACUCGCCUCAAAUUCAUUGGCAGCGGCAUCGUCAGCUUCUCGCGCAGCACAUUGCGCUUCAGAAGGCUUCUGGCGGGCUCGCGUCCACUAAGAUACCACCCAGUUUGACCUCGAAUCAGGUAGGGAUACCCGCUGAACUUAAGCAUAUCAAUAAGCGGAGGAA